Molecule: ribosomal RNA, 389 nt
Filed under: Acanthodactylus micropholis (yellowtail fringe-fingered lizard)
Lineage: Eukaryota; Metazoa; Chordata; Lepidosauria; Squamata; Lacertidae
Description: partial 12S ribosomal RNA
Rfam family: Bacterial small subunit ribosomal RNA
Source: RNAcentral
GCUAAGCCCUAAACAUUGAUUAGCCCCCUUACCACGCUAUCCGCCAGAGAACUACUAGUGAAAAACUUAAAACUCAAAGGACUUGGCGGUGUCCCAUCUCGGCCUAGAGGAGCCUGUCCUGUAAUCGAUACCCCCCGUUUCACCCGACCUUAACUCGCACAUUCAGCCUAUAUACCGCCGUCGCCAGUCUACCCCAUGAGGGCCUUUUAGUAGACACAACAGUCACAGCCCACUAGUACGUCAGGUCAAGGUGUAGCUAAUGUUAAGGCAGCGAUUGGCUACAUUUUUUGCCUCAAAAUAAACGAAAUGCAGAAUGAAACCCUGCACGAAGGUGAAUUUAGCAGUAAAAUGAAUAAGAGAGUUCAUUUUAACACCGCUCUGGGACGCGC